AGAUUGAACGCUGGCGGCAUGCCUAACACAUGCAAGUCGAACGGGAGUAGCAAUACUCUAGUGGCGGACGGGUGAGGAAUACGUAGGAAUUUGCCCUUAAGUGGGGGAUAACCCGGGGAAACCCGGAUUAAUACCGCAUGACCUCGAAAGAGCAAAGUGGGGGAUCGCAAGACCUCACGCUUUUGGAGAAGCCUACGUCGGAUUAGCUAGUUGGUGAGGUAAUGGCUCACCAAGGCGACGAUCCGUAACUGGUCUGAGAGGAUGAUCAGUCACACCGGAACUGAGACACGGUCCGGACUCCUACGGGAGGCAGCAGUGGGGAAUAUUGGACAAUGGGCGCAAG
This 343-nucleotide ribosomal RNA is filed under the name uncultured soil bacterium. RNAcentral's name for it is "bacterial SSU rRNA". It matches the Rfam family "Bacterial small subunit ribosomal RNA", at positions 26 to 381 of the family's 1533-position model. The record is from RNAcentral.